Molecule: ribosomal RNA, 437 nt
Filed under: uncultured rumen bacterium
Lineage: Bacteria
Description: bacterial SSU rRNA
Rfam family: Bacterial small subunit ribosomal RNA
Source: RNAcentral
UAACGCGAAGAACCUUACCAAGUCUUGACAUCCAUCUGACAGAGAGGGUAAUGCCUCUUUCCCUUCGGGACAGGAAUGACAGGUGGUGCAUGGUUGUCGUCAGCUCGUGUCGUGAGAUGUUGGGUUAAGUCCCGCAACGAGCGCAACCCUUGUCCUUAGUAGCCAGCAUGUUGAGAUGGGAACUCUAAGGAGACUGCCAGGGAUAACCUGGAGGAAGGUGGGGAUGACGUCAAAUCAUCAUGCCCCUUAUGGCCAGGGCUACACACGUGCUACAAUGGCGUAAACAAAGGGAGGCAACCCCGCGAGGGCAAGCAAACCCCAAAAAAUGCGUCUCAGUUCGGAUUGCAGGCUGCAACCCGCCUGCAUGAAGCUGGAAUCGCUAGUAAUCGCAGAUCAGAAUGCUGCGGUGAAUACGUUCCCGGGUCUUGUACACACGC